GGGUGACUAGUGACAGAGUGAGGAAGGGGGUGACACAGUGACAGAGUGAGGGAGGGGGUGGCUAGUGACAGAGUGAAGGAGGUGGUGACUGUCACUAGUCACACCCUUCCCUCCCUCACUCUGUCACUAGUCACCACCUCCCUCUGUCACUACUCCCUCCCUCCUUCUGUCACAAGUCACCCCCUCCCUCACUGUGUCACUAGUCACCCCCUCACUCUGUCACUAGUCACCCC
Non-coding RNA from Pelobates cultripes (western spadefoot toad), 233 nucleotides. The record is from the annotation of a GenBank genome assembly. Lineage: Eukaryota; Metazoa; Chordata; Amphibia; Anura; Pelobatidae.